UACGUAGGGGGCUAGCGUUGUCCGGAAUCAUUGGGCGUAAAGAGCGUGUAGGCGGCUCGGUAAGUCCGCUGUGAAAGUCCAGGGCUCAACCCUGGAAUGCCAGUGGAAACUGUCGAGCUAGAGUCCGGAAGAGGCGAGUGGAAUUCCUGGUGUAGCGGUGAAAUGCGCAGAUAUCAGGAAGAACACCCGUGGCGAAAGCGGCUCUCUGGAACGGUACUGACGCUGAGACGCGAAAGCGUGGGGAGCGAACAGG
RNAcentral lists this ribosomal RNA (253 nucleotides) under uncultured bacterium. RNAcentral describes it as "partial 16S ribosomal RNA". It matches the Rfam family "Bacterial small subunit ribosomal RNA", at positions 524 to 776 of the family's 1533-position model. The record is from RNAcentral.